UACGUAGGGUGCGAGCGUUAAUCGGAAUUACUGGGCGUAAAGCGUGCGCAGGCGGUUGUAUAAGCCAGAUGUGAAAUCCCCGGGCUCAACCUGGGAAUGGCAUUUGGGACUGUACAGCUGGAGUGUGGCAGAGGAGACUGGAAUUCCUGGUGUAGCAGUGAAAUGCGUAGAUAUCAGGAGGAAUACCGAUGGCGAAGGCAGGUCUCUGGGCUGACACUGACGCUCAUGCACGAAAGCGUGGGGAGCAAACAGG
This 253-nucleotide ribosomal RNA is filed under the name uncultured bacterium. RNAcentral's name for it is "partial 16S ribosomal RNA". It matches the Rfam family "Bacterial small subunit ribosomal RNA", at positions 524 to 776 of the family's 1533-position model. The record is from RNAcentral.